AAUGACUUUAGAUUUGUUAAUUUUAAGUACGAGGUGAAGAGAUGCAUGGGAAUACCCUGUUCUCACCUCAGUUUGUUCCAUCUGCAUAAGCUAUUUUAUCUUUCAGUACCCCUUUUGAUUUUUUCAUUUUGGUCCUUGAAUAAAUUAAGGAUCAUUUAAAAUAAAUAAAUGUCGACUUCGAGAUACUAUUAAAUAUAUUCUUUGCAAUUCGUCCGAUGGGAAAUUGGUACAAAUCAGUCUCCAAAGAACUCAGAUCAGGAUUCUAGCCAGAUUUGAAGAGAAACAGACUUCAGAUAGAUAUGGUUUUCAGGUAAGAAAAGGUAGGAAUUCUCGUCAGCCCCCAAACAAUGAUUUUACUUGCUUGGUGACACAGUUGACCUUUCUCUGCAGGGCCAUGGUCUUCUAAGUACCUCUGCUCUAAUUAUAUCUUGCUAUACCCACGAAUUUGAUUGUUGUUCUAUUUCCAUGGAUCAUUAAUUUCCCAUUCCAGCAGAGAUUCCCUGUAGUCAAGUUCCUGAGGGGUAGCUGCUUGUUAUUUUCUAUUUCAAUCAUGUGCAUUUGAUAUUUACUAUUAAAUUUUUGAAUAAUGACACCUUCUCCAAGCGGCUGUAAGUUUGGCUGUGAUGAACCUCUCCGGAGAAGCCUGUGAGCUUUCACAUCUGCUGGAAAACUCUGGGGAGAAUCUUUCUAAUGAGGAAUUCCUGGAACAAGAAAUUACAGAUGAUCUCUUUUUCAGAAGACAUGGCAAGCAAGUGAAUGCCUUUUUCUCCCAUCAGAGAAGAAGUCAACCUCUCUGUUCAACUUUUUGGUGGAGGCUACGAUCCAGUUUCUAGCUGGCUGAAUGGUGAUGGAACGACAUGAACUCUGGACCUGAGGAAUACGUGCGGAAGGAAGGAUGAUGGGUUUGUGUGCUUGUAAACCAACCCGUCGGAUGCAUGCACCAGGCAUUUGGAAAUAGAAUGCAACAGAAGAGCCAAGCCCUGGAGUUAAGGUGUGAGUGAUCAGCCUAUAUGAAACCUUAAGGUACUUCUGGGAGAGGUCGUGGGGUUAGAACAAAGUGGGAUCAAAAAAGAGAGCCCUGUGAAACCCCGGCAUUGAAGAGCAGAGGACAAGGAUCCAACUAAGACACAGCAUGUAUAAUAAAUAAAAGAGGAGAGAACUGUCA
RNAcentral lists this long non-coding RNA (1165 nucleotides) under Sus scrofa (pig). RNAcentral's name for it is "lncRNA (ENSSSCG00065038504.1)". The record is from RNAcentral. Lineage: Eukaryota; Metazoa; Chordata; Mammalia; Artiodactyla; Suidae.